CCUACGGGUGGCAGCAGUGAGGAAUAUUGGUCAAUGGGCGGAAGCCUGAACCAGCCAAGUAGCGUGCAGGAUGACGGCCCUACGGGUUGUAAACUGCUUUUAUACGGGAAUAACGCGUCUUACGGGUAGGGCUGUGCAUGUACCGUAUGAAUAAGGACCGGCUAAUGCCGUGCCAGCAGCCGUGGUAAUACGGAAGGUCCGGGCGUUAUCCGGAUUGAUUGGGGUUAAAGGGAGCGUAGGCCGCAUGUCAAGCGUGCUGUGAAAUGUCCGGGCUCAACCCGGGCCUUGCAGCGCGAACUGGCGUGCUUGAGUCCGCGGAAGGCAGGCGGAAUUCGUCGUGUAGCGGUGAAAUGCUUAGAUAUGACGAAGAACCCCGAUUGCGAAGGCAGCUUGCUGCAGCGGAACUGACGCUGAUGCUCGAAAGCGCGGGUAUCGAACAGGAUUAGAUACCCCAGUAGUC
RNAcentral lists this ribosomal RNA (460 nucleotides) under uncultured bacterium. Its description in RNAcentral is "partial 16S ribosomal RNA". It matches the Rfam family "Bacterial small subunit ribosomal RNA", at positions 338 to 795 of the family's 1533-position model. The record is from RNAcentral.